Nerophis lumbriciformis (worm pipefish) is the source of this 1397-nucleotide long non-coding RNA. RefSeq lists it as uncharacterized. Lineage: Eukaryota; Metazoa; Chordata; Actinopteri; Syngnathiformes; Syngnathidae. The record is from RefSeq and is a predicted model, not a curated record.
GGACCCGCCCACCUGCAUGCAGCUGUGGAAGAACAAGCCCAGACACGUUUCUUCACGGAGUCCAAGGAAAACACUUUACCGAACUCAUAUGGGAUGGCCCUGUAAGUUGUGCAGCACUGUUGUACCAACCAAGAGUGACAUUUUAAAGCAUUACAGACUGCACCAUGGGACCUUUGGACACAGCCAUUCCUUGCAUUGCAUUCAUAUUAAUGAAGCGGAAUCAACAUUUAUGUCACCACUGGACAGGUACACUCCAAAACUCCUGGAGCUCUUCAGUGCAAAAGGAGGAGUGACUGCAGCGCAUCAAGAACUUGUUGAUGGAACUGACACAGGACCCAAGUGCCUCUGCAGUGAAGAAGAGAGAUGUGACUGUGAGAUGCCUCAUAGAGUACAUGGGAGAGAGUGGACAGGAGCUAAUCUCUGACUACUGGAACUGCAGAGACCGCUGUUCAUGAGGACCUGGAAAUGAAGAAUAUGAGCAUCUACAUCUGUCGUGAGCCAAAUGCAGUAGGAAUCAUCAUUGAGGGAGUACCAGUCCUUACUCAUCUUGGAAACCUGGUCAAAGCAUGCUGCCUACUUCCGGGGUUGACGUAUGCACUUCAUCUUGAGUAUCCAUCCAAACUUUCCAAAACAUUUGAGGUGUUUCAAAGACUUUUUGUGGGACUUGACACACUGCGCCCAAAACCAACCCCCAAAUUCAUGACUCUCAAAAACAAGCUUCUAGCUUAGGCAGUGAGCCAUGACUGUCAGCUUGCACUUUUGAACAGCUAUUUUCUUGUGUCUGUUCAAAAUCAUUAUACAUUGUUCAUUGAGUGGAAUUCUUCAGAUUGUUGUAACGGUUUGUCCUGUUCAGGUUUUAUACAAAGCUCCAGGUCAUCGUUUCUGAUGUGUAAAUUAAGUUUUUUUAUGUUUUAUACACACUAAAUUGCCCCACUGUGAAGCUCCAGCUGGUCAGAAGGAGGGAUCUGUGAGUUGUUUAAGUUAAAAUGUUUCAAAAUAUACACACUGAAAGACACUACAGUGAAGGUGUUCUGCUUGUAAAUUGUUACAGAAGUACAGAUAAUCUUAAUGUUAAAUUGUUUUAGCAAGAAACUGUACUGUGAAUGUUCUAAGUAAAACUUGAGAUGCUGAGGUCAUGCAUUCUUUUAUGCACUAAAUACUGAUGUUCUUGACUGUUAAUACUGUCCAGCUUAUUGACAGGUUUGGAUAUGGCUUGUGAAAAUGUUUUAAUAUGUAUACGGUUAAAAAAAAGAAAACUACUGUGAAGGUGUUCUAUACAGCACUUUAAAAAGUUGAGGUCAUGCAUUCUUGUAUAAUAUGGAUGUUGACUGUUCAUACUGUCCAGCUCAUUGCCACUGUUUUUAUAUGGUAAUGAUUUAAUAAAGGUUGGAAUUUGA